This is a long non-coding RNA of Chinchilla lanigera (long-tailed chinchilla), 4889 nucleotides long. RefSeq lists it as uncharacterized. The transcript has 4 exons. The record is from RefSeq and is a predicted model, not a curated record. Lineage: Eukaryota; Metazoa; Chordata; Mammalia; Rodentia; Chinchillidae.
UAACAAGUCUAACUGGCUCUGGAAAGCUGAAAGGGCUGCACUGGAGCGGCAUAGAUGAUAUAUUCCACACAGUAAUCUGCUUAUCUAGAGUCACUCUGCCUGGAAAAGCCAGAGAGAAUCACGGCUUCAUUAUCUGAGGGAAGAAGGACAGGUGAUCUGGCAGAAAACACAUCUGAACCUGGAGCAAGAAUGACCCUCUGGCUCGGCAGUCCCAAAGGUGCGGCAUGAAAGGAACUGAGCCUCCCCAGGAAUCCAAGGGCAACCACAGCAGCAAACCCGGAGUACUGCUGCCUGUGGAGACCAAGUGAGAAUGGAAACUUCUGAGAAAACAAAAUUGUCAGCAUUGUUGUCCCCUUCACUCAAAACUGUGCUAUGUAGUCUGAAAUGGAAAACAACUCCUUAACAUAGUAUUGUCGUCGAAUCCUCAACAUGGAACUUCGUACUUCUCACUCCCUUCACAAAAUUCCAUUCAACUCCCCUGGAAUUUCCAUGUUCCAAAUCAUUUUCACCAGACAAGGCUGAGAAUACUCUAAAUGGAGGCAUGAAAAUGCACUGGAGCUGGGAGUAUCUAAGACUCAGGGGUGAGUAAUUGUCUCCCCAGGCCCCUGCUGUUGGUUCAGUUACAGAGUCAGACAUGAAGUCUCCCUUCCAAAGCCCACUUGGGUCACUGAGGUAUCACAACCCCCAGCAUUGCUGCAUCCAGUCCUGUGACCAAGGAUAUGCACAGUAGGAGAAGAGCAUGGGAGCGGCCCAGAAAAAUGUUACGAACAAGGCAUUCUGGAGAGUAACUGCUAUCGUUUGGAUGGGUGCCCUCAGAAAGGCCCAUAUGUUAAGGCCUGGUCCCUGGGGUGGUGGUGCUGUGUGAUACUGUGGACUUUUAAAAAGUAAGACUGAAUGGAAGGUCCCUAGAUCUUUGGGGACAUGCACCUGAGGGAAUCACGGGAUUCUGAUAUGUCCUCUCUCUCCAUUUGCUGGUUAGUGAUGUAAGCAGUGCAUUCAGCCACAUUCCCACCAUGAUGCGCCAUCAUCACCAGAGGCCCAAACCAACAGCACUGUCCAAUCUUGGGACUAAACCUUCCAAACCAUGAACCCAAAUAACCUUUCCUUACUCACUAAGUACACUGUUGUCAGUAUUCUGUUAUACUGACAGUUACCCUGAGAAAUGGGCUGUCUUUAUCCUCUCCCUCUCAUUCACUCUAGUCCCCUAAACAGUCCUUCUAUGCUCCCCAGCUCCUUCCUCCAAAGCGGCCCACAAAUACCAUGGGGCGCCUUACCCUUUCCUAUUCUCAAAUGAGUCUUUUUGUGUGACGUUCCCAGAGCAGCAGAUUAAACCACUUUAUGAGAAUAUGAUUAAACGUUCCUGCUACCUUCCAAGUGGCACUUUAUUUUAAUAGAAGCUUUCUAGAAAUAAAUCUGAGAACCAAAGAAAGAAUCACCAGUGGAUAUUUCAGGCCCCAUGGACCAUGACACUGGAGACAUGCAGAGGACAGGCAGGGAUUUUCUGGGCCAGGGAAUCACACCAUCACAUCAGCCACAUUCUCCUGUCAGUAAUGGUUCAGCCCCAUAUGCACAGCUCUGUACCACGGAGAAUGUCAAGUGCUGCUCACAGUUACACGACCUGUACCAGCACCUGUAGUCCCUGAGUAUUCUCUCUCUACAGCCAGAAUGCAGGCCACCACCAAGUAAGAAAGUUUUCUCUCUUAUUUAACCCCCCCACAGGAGCAGUAAAUAUUGAACAUACAAGAAUUUGACUAUGGAGACACAUUUGUAAUGUCAGUAUCUGAAAGAGAUAUAGGUACUCCACGUCUCAUAGUCUAUAGGAUAUUUAUUUAUCUGCCAUAAGAAUUAAGCACAUAAAUCUGAUUACAGUUGAGUCACCCAUGCACUAUAAGAUAAUACAGUGGCCUUGAAUUUUAAGGGCAGGGCUUGACCCAAGGUGCUUGUUAAAAUGUUAGAUUCCUGGCUCCCACUAAAGGAUGUUGAUCUAUGAGUCUACAACGCCUAGAGAAUCUGCAUUUUCAUUGUCUACCCCCCAACCUUGCUUGUAAAGCCAGUCUUCCGUGGACUACUCAAGAAACAUCAAAACAGUGAUAGGGCACCUAGCCCAAAGCCUACAGGAUGACAAGUUCUCAGUACUUACUAGAUAUAAUUAUUAAGAAUCAGAACCAACCACAACUUCACAUACUCAACUUGCAUUUGAUCUCCUGCUAAGGAAAUUACCUAUGGGAGUAGCUGUAAGAUGGCAAGCUAGGAGUUUUUUAGUGUAGGAAAGAGAAAUGAGAAGAGGAAUACAGAAGAGAGGCAAGCUAACUAUGUUCUUCUAAUGAUCCUUUAACCAUCAGUGCAAACUCUUGACCCCUAAUUAUUCCCUGCUCCAUGUGACCUCAGCUCUGAAAAAACUGGACAAGAGUAUUUGAGAUAAUUAGCCAUGGACCAGGAAUUUCCCAAGUAAAAAAUAUUCAAAGGUUUGCCAUUUUUAUUUCUUGGCCUCACACAUGGAAAACAAAAUGAGGUUAUUUGAUUUGUUUUGUAAAGCAAAGUAGGCCCCAAGCAAACAGGGAGUUUCAAAGUGCCUGAGUCCACUAACUUUAGCCCAAUAUCAGAAGUGGAGCCCUAACCUGACUGGCUGCUGUGCUCGUGUGAAUCUUGGCUGUCUUCCUGCACCCAUGGUGUGAGCCUCCGCGGGUGGCUGGAGUUUCGCGGAUCUACUUACUACUUGGAUUCACUCCAUACAACAAAGGGGAUGAUCCUUCAGGAAGUCUUCUGUUUGGUUUGCAUGUUCCUGAGCAUAGGACAAAGGUCUGCUGUUUAAGAGGAUGAAUAACCAAGGCUUUGUUUCUCCAAACCAAGAGGGAAACUGUUGAUCUAACCAAAGUCACUUGGUCUUAAACUGCCCAAGGAGGACAAGAAUGAGAUAUUAUUUUAGGCGCCCAUCACUCAACCUCCUCUCAGUUCCAGAAAACAAUGACUCAGUGUGGGCCUUUCUGACAGACGGCAGCCUUAGGAAAAUACUGUUCCAUAUAUUUGGAACCAGGGCUCCUCCUGCAUUAAAAUAAGUGGAAGCUAUUCAAAGUCCACUUAGCUCUUUCUCUAUGAAUCCUGGGCAUAGGAAUACAGCUGUCCAGACUCACAUAAUGAGAGGAAAAUGGAAACUCUGCAUGACACCAAAUCAAAGUACUUCGUGUCUCCAUCCCAGGUGCUUGGCCUGUGUCUUAUUGCUUGAUUCUCACAGUAGCCUCGAAGAGCUCUGUCCCCUGGUUGGAGAAGGAAGAGCCCUCCAUCACACAGAGCAUCACAGUGUUCAUUUCUCUACAUCAAGCGACACUGAGCUAAACACUCGACGGCGCAGCCAUGGGUGUUUGCACUUUGCAAGCCUGUGUCAUAUCUGUCUUUUGCUUUUUAUCACACCUUUGAUUUAGCAGGCAAAUCUUCAGGGCUCAGUGCUGAUGGAUAUACCCUGGAGCCAGCUUCAAAGCCAGAUCUUAGAUUUAUGAAAAUAAAAUAAACAUAGCGCUUCAAUUACAAAUACCUACUUUGAAUUCCAAUGUGCACUUUCAAAGGUUCAUCUUAUAAAUCCUGCCCUUGAUUUUGAACCCAGUGAAUCUUUGGAUUUGGUGCUUAUUGGCUCCUUCCUCAAGCUGCCAUUUCAGUCCAGUCUGAAUUCACAUAUACUGUAAAUGAUUGGAGUUCCACCAUCUUACUCCGUGUACGUACCUUUUUUGCUAAAUAGAAGGUUUUCAGAGAGACUGACAGCCAUUCUGCCUGUCUCUGUCUCAUCCAGGUAGUGGCUGGAGAGCCCACACAACCAACUCAAUUUACAUUAGCUUCAUGAACGCUUUUAAAGUAUGGUGCCAGCCUGUUGGUACCAAAGCAGAUUAAAGUGUCCCCUUCCUAUGCCUACAGUCGGAGGCCCUCAUGACCAACUCUGAAAGGGAGCUAAUCAGAGACAGGCGAAGGGGCACUCAGUACCACUGAGCUCCUGCUUCUGCAGAGUUUAUAAGAAAUGGCACAAUUCCUGACCUGGAAGAGCCAGAACAUGUAUUCAUACAUACUGACAUAUAUGUGCACACACAAACACAAACACAAACUCAUGUGUGUCCAUAUAAAUACAUGCACACCUAUGAACACACAUAAGUUCAUAGUUGCAUUUGUGUUUUCCAUUCCCUCAGGAAUUCAUUUCACAGUUGUGGAAUCCCAAAGGGAAUAAAUACUACAAAAUUAAUACAAGUACAUUACCAAGACUCUGACAUUUAGAACAGACCAUUUAAGGAAUGCUUUCCUUCCCUUACAAAUUUUUAAAAGAAACAAGGGGCAGGGGUGAAUAGCGGGACAACUGAAAAGUACAUACUGUAUCCCCAGGAGAGGAAAAAAGGAGGCACUAAGGCUGUGAAAUGAAAACAAUACUUAGAUGUAAGAAAAAAAGACAAGGGAAAAAACAAAAAGGAGAGGGAACGGAGGUCAAAUUGCACAGCUGAGACCAGAGUGUAAGCUGAAAUGACAUCAUGGAAAGAAAUGAGGGUUAUGAUGGAAUAAAAUGCAAAAUAACAGAGGAUUCAUUUUAACUUUCAGCCAAAUGAGUGGUAAGAUAUUUUUGAAGUGGAGAAAUUAAAAAAUAAUAAUAAAAUCAAUACUUUCUUUCAGUAAAGCAUAAUUAAAAUGGGACCAAAUAAGAUUUAACAUUUUUCUGGUUUUAAAGAUACAUGGUAAUUUUGACAAUUUGAAAAAUAUAGCAACAGCAAAAGAAUAAAGAAGGAAAAGAAACUCCUGUGGUUCUAUUAACAACAGAUAAUUCCUGCUAAUGUAUAUUCUUCUGGUCCCAUCUUUACCAGUCGUGAUUAUACUAUCCUGUGAACUUUUUAUGGUAUUGCAUUAAAUAUUUCUCAACAUAA